AGGCCAUGAUGUGGACACUUGCGUAAUAGUUCCUUGAACCUUUCCCAAUUUUCAUAUAAGGAUUCCCCAUCCUCUUGUGAAUAUGUAAUAAUCUCAGUCAUUAAUUU
This 107-nucleotide small nucleolar RNA is filed under the name Helianthus annuus (common sunflower). Its description in RNAcentral is "Plant small nucleolar RNA R71". It matches the Rfam family "Plant small nucleolar RNA R71". From Rfam's summary of the family: R71 is a member of the C/D box family of snoRNAs containing the C (UGAUGA) and D (CUGA) box motifs. The record is from RNAcentral. Lineage: Eukaryota; Viridiplantae; Streptophyta; Magnoliopsida; Asterales; Asteraceae.